GAUGAACGCUGGCGGCGUGCCUAAUACAUGCAAGUCGAGCGAACGGACGAGAAGCUUGCUUCUCUGAUGUUAGCGGCGGACGGGUGAGUAACACGUGGAUAACCUACCUAUAAGACUGGGAUAACUUCGGGAAACCGGAGCUAAUACCGGAUAAUAUUUUGAACCGCAUGGUUCAAAAGUGAAAGACGGUCUUGCUGUCACUUAUAGAUGGAUCCGCGCUGCAUUAGCUCGUUGGUAAGGUAACGGCUUACCAAGGCCACGAUGCAUAGCCGACCUGGCAGGCUCAUUGGUCAUCCUGGAAGUGGUACACUGUCUAUACUCCUAACGGAGGAAGCAGUUGGUAAUUUUCCGCAUCGGGGGAAAGUCUGACGUAAAAACGCCGCGUGGGUCAUGAAGGUCUUUGGUUCUGAAAACUCUCUUAUGAGGGAAGAAAAUAUGUGUAAGUAACUGUACACAUCUUGACGUUACCUAAUCAGAAAGCCACGGCUAACUACGUG
This 497-nucleotide ribosomal RNA is filed under the name uncultured bacterium. Its description in RNAcentral is "partial 16S ribosomal RNA". It matches the Rfam family "Bacterial small subunit ribosomal RNA", at positions 28 to 507 of the family's 1533-position model. The record is from RNAcentral.